Molecule: ribosomal RNA, 465 nt
Filed under: uncultured Klebsiella sp.
Lineage: Bacteria; Pseudomonadati; Pseudomonadota; Gammaproteobacteria; Enterobacterales; Enterobacteriaceae
Description: bacterial SSU rRNA
Rfam family: Bacterial small subunit ribosomal RNA
Source: RNAcentral
CCUACGGGUGGCAGCAGUGGGGAAUAUUGCACAAUGGGCGCAAGCCUGAUGCAGCCAUGCCGCGUGUGUGAAGAAGGCCUUCGGGUUGUAAAGCACUUUCAGCGGGGAGGAAGGCGUUAAGGUUAAUAACCUUGGCGAUUGACGUUACCCGCAGAAGAAGCACCGGCUAACUCCGUGCCAGCAGCCGCGGUAAUACGGAGGGUGCAAGCGUUAAUCGGAAUUACUGGGCGUAAAGCGCACGCAGGCGGGCUGUCAAGUCGGAUGUGAAAUCCCCGGGCUCAACCUGGGAACUGCAUUCGAAACUGGCAGGCUAGAGUCUUGUAGAGGGGGGUAGAAUUCCAGGUGUAGCGGUGAAAUGCGUAGAGAUCUGGAGGAAUACCGGUGGCGAAGGCGGCCCCCUGGACAAAGACCGACGCUCGGGUGCGAAAGCGUGGGGAGCAAACAGGAUUAGAUACCCGGGUAGUC